Molecule: ribosomal RNA, 292 nt
Filed under: uncultured bacterium
Lineage: Bacteria
Description: partial 16S ribosomal RNA
Rfam family: Bacterial small subunit ribosomal RNA
Source: RNAcentral
GUGCCAGCCGCCGCGGUAAUACGGGGGGGGCAAGCGUUGCUCGGAAUCACUGGGCGUAAAGGGUGCGUAGGCGGGUCUUUAAGUCAGGGGUGAAAUCCUGGAGCUCAACUCCAGAACUGCCUUUGAUACUGAGGAUCUUGAGUUCGGGAGAGGUGAGUGGAACUGCGAGUGUAGAGGUGAAAUUCGUAGAUAUUCGCAAGAACACCAGUGGCGAAGGCGGCUCACUGGCCCGAUACUGACGCUGAGGCACGAAAGCGUGGGGAGCAAACAGGAUUAGAUACCCUUGUAGUCC